This 322-nucleotide ribosomal RNA is filed under the name uncultured bacterium. RNAcentral describes it as "bacterial SSU rRNA". It matches the Rfam family "Bacterial small subunit ribosomal RNA", at positions 794 to 1119 of the family's 1533-position model. The record is from RNAcentral.
UCCUGGCUGUAAACGAUGUGCACUUGGUGUUGGGCCGCGAGGUUCAGUGCCGAAGCUAACGCAUUAAGUGCACCGCCUGGGGAGUACGACCGCAAGGUUGAAACUCAAAGGAAUUGACGGGGGCCCGCACAAGCGGUGGAGCAUGUGGCUUAAUUCGACGCAACGCGAAGAACCUUACCGGGGCUUGACAUGCAGCUGCAAAUCCGGCGAAAGCCGGAUUCCUUCGAGGGUGCUGCACAGGUGCUGCAUGGCUGUCGUCAGCUCGUGCCGUGAGGUGUUUGGUUAAGUCCAGCAACGAGCGCAACCCUUAUUCUUAGUUGCC